UACGGAGGAUCCGAGCGUUAUCCGGAUUUAUUGGGUUUAAAGGGUGCGUAGGCGGGUCUUUAAGUCAGGGGUGAAAACUUGCAGCUUAACUGUAAACUUGCCUUUGAAACUGAAGGUCUUGAGUGUAAACAAGGUAGGCGGAAUGUGUUGUGUAGCGGUGAAAUGCAUAGAUAUAACACAGAACCCCGAUUGCGAAGGCAGCUUACCGGGCUACAACUGACGCUGAGGCACGAAAGCGUGGGGAUCAAACAGG
Molecule: ribosomal RNA, 253 nt
Filed under: uncultured bacterium
Lineage: Bacteria
Description: partial 16S ribosomal RNA
Rfam family: Bacterial small subunit ribosomal RNA
Source: RNAcentral